GCUUACGGCCACACCGCCUGGUUCACGCCUUGUUCACGCUUGAUCUCGGAAGCUAAGAUAGGGUGGGCCAGGUUAGUACUUGGAUGGGAGACCGCCUGGGAAUACCAGGUGCUGUAAGCU
This is a ribosomal RNA of Scophthalmus maximus (turbot), 120 nucleotides long. The record is from Ensembl. NCBI's taxonomy places the organism in Eukaryota, Metazoa, Chordata, Actinopteri, Pleuronectiformes, Scophthalmidae.